GUUUGGUGCUGGUCGCUAUGAAGUUGAUGGAUAUGUUUACAACAGUGAGGAAGAACCCAAAAUUUUGAUGACUGGAAAAUGGAAUGAAUCUAUAAGUUAUCAACCCUGUGAUUUGGAAGGGGAGCCCAUGGCUGGCAGCACUCUUAAAGAGGUCUGGAAAGCUGCUGAAGCUCCUAAAAACGACAAAUUUCAGUAUACAUAUUUUGCACACAAGAUUAAUAGCUUUGAUACUGCGCCUAAGAAAUUAUUAGCAUCUGAUUCUCGCUUGCGCCCUGAUCGUUACGCACUUGAGAUAGGUGAUGUGUCCAAAGCUAGUUCAGAAAAGAGCCGUUUGGAGGAGAGGCAGAGAGCUG
Molecule: unclassified non-coding RNA, 353 nt
Filed under: Hevea brasiliensis (rubber tree)
Lineage: Eukaryota; Viridiplantae; Streptophyta; Magnoliopsida; Malpighiales; Euphorbiaceae
Source: RNAcentral